UAUCACAGUGGGCUGGAGGUUUUCCCUAUCAGGAGUGUGAGCACUACCAGAGUGAGAAAGGGCAAAGCAGAGAUUUUUGUGGACUGGCAGCCCUGCCCAGUAUGUGGAGAGGAAUGGCCCCCUUCCUGGCAGCCGAAAGAGAACAUCGAGAUGACUCGAAUAAAUGAAUGAAAAUGAGA
This is a long non-coding RNA of Lampris incognitus (smalleye Pacific opah), 179 nucleotides long. RefSeq lists it as uncharacterized. The transcript has 3 exons. NCBI's taxonomy places the organism in Eukaryota, Metazoa, Chordata, Actinopteri, Lampriformes, Lampridae. The record is from RefSeq and is a predicted model, not a curated record.